This 364-nucleotide unclassified non-coding RNA is filed under the name uncultured bacterium. Its description in RNAcentral is "contains 16S-23S intergenic spacer region". The record is from RNAcentral.
UCCGGUUUGACACCGGCAGUCUGAAUAGACAUAUACAACUAUUCACGAGGGUUGCGCUCGUUGAAGGACUUAACCUGACAUCUCACGACACGAGCUGACGACGGCCAUGCAUCACCUGUCACUAGGUUCCUUGCGGCACAGCCCUAUUUCUAGGGCUUUCCUAGGAUGUCAAACCUUGGUAAGGUUCUUCGCGUAGCCUCGAAUUAAACCACACGCUCCACCGCUUGUGCGGGUCCCCGUCAAUUCCUUUGAGUUUUAGCCUUGCGGCCGUACUCCCCAGGCGGGAUGCUUAACGCGUUAGCUUCGCUACUGAAAGGGUCGAUUCUUCCAACAGCUAGCAUCCAUCGUUUACGGCGUGGACUAC